AUGUACAAGAUACAGAUGACAGUGGAAGAUGGGCAGAUGGAAGUGGCCAAGGUCAGGAUAACACAACAGGAGCAGAGCAGAGAAGGUGGGGAGGACUCAGCGCCACUGGAGGAGCCUGCAUCCACGAGUGCUCUUGCUGUGCUGCCAGGAGUGACGUCACCAGGAGGAAGAAAAUGGGCAAACCACUCCUUUUUGGAACAACCUAUUAGGAUGAAAUAAUGAUUCAUAAUAAAAAGUAAUGGGUCAUUCUGGGAAGAUAAUGA
RNAcentral lists this long non-coding RNA (263 nucleotides) under Pogona vitticeps (central bearded dragon). RNAcentral describes it as "lncRNA (ENSPVIG00000007104.1)". Lineage: Eukaryota; Metazoa; Chordata; Lepidosauria; Squamata; Agamidae. The record is from RNAcentral.